Molecule: ribosomal RNA, 411 nt
Filed under: uncultured prokaryote
Description: bacterial SSU rRNA
Rfam family: Bacterial small subunit ribosomal RNA
Source: RNAcentral
GUGUCAGCCGCCGCGGUAAUACGGAGGGUGCGAGCGUUGUCCGGAAUCAUUGGGUGUAAAGGGUGCGUAGGCGGGUUGCUAAGUCUUGGGUGAAAUCCUGCCGCUUAACGGUAGAAUGGCCCCCGAUACUGGCAGUCUUGAGUACAGAAGAGGUCGGUGGAAUUCGUAGUGUAGCGGUGAAAUGCAUAGAUAUUACGGAGAACACCAGUGGCGAAGGCGGCCGGCUGGUCUGUAACUGACGCUGAGGCACGAAAGCGUGGGGAGCGAACAGGAUUAGAUACCCUGGUAGUCCACGCUGUAAACGAUGUAUGCUAGGUGUCGGCCUUUCGGGGUCGGUGCUGCAGUUAACGCAGUAAGCAUACCACCUGGGGAGUACGUCGGCGACGAUGAAACUCAAAUGAAUUGACGGGG